RNAcentral lists this ribosomal RNA (253 nucleotides) under bacterium. Its description in RNAcentral is "partial 16S ribosomal RNA". It matches the Rfam family "Bacterial small subunit ribosomal RNA", at positions 524 to 776 of the family's 1533-position model. RNAcentral also lists the same sequence under 1 other name. The record is from RNAcentral.
UACGUACCGUCCGAACGUUAUUCGGUAUUACUGGGCUUAAAGCGUUCGUAGGCGGCUUGGAAGGUGAGAUGUGAAAGCCCACGGCUCAACCGUGGAACAGCGUCUCAAACCAUCAGGCUUGAGGAAGACAGGGGUGAAGGGAACUUAUGGUGGAGCGGUGAAAUGCGUUGAUAUCAUAGGGAACACCGGUGGCGAAGGCGCUUCACUGGGUCUUUUCUGACGCUGAGGAACGAAAGCUAGGGUAGCGAACGGG